This 2247-nucleotide ribosomal RNA is filed under the name Salmonella enterica subsp. enterica serovar Panama. Its description in RNAcentral is "bacterial LSU rRNA". It matches the Rfam family "Bacterial large subunit ribosomal RNA", at positions 593 to 2823 of the family's 2925-position model. The record is from RNAcentral. Lineage: Bacteria; Pseudomonadati; Pseudomonadota; Gammaproteobacteria; Enterobacterales; Enterobacteriaceae.
GUGACUGCGUACCUUUUGUAUAAUGGGUCAGCGACUUAUAUUCUGUAGCAAGGUUAACCGAAUAGGGGAGCCGGAGGGAAACCGAGUCUUAAUUGGGCGUUAAGUUGCAGGGUAUAGACCCGAAACCCGGUGAUCUAGCCAUGGGCAGGUUGAAGGUUGGGUAACACUAACUGGAGGACCGAACCGACUAAUGUUGAAAAAUUAGCGGAUGACCUGUGGCUGGGGGUGAAAGGCCAAUCAAACCGGGAGAUAGCUGGUUCUCCCCGAAAGCUAUUUAGGUAGCGCCUCGUGAAUUCAUCUCCGGGGGUAGAGCACUGUUUCGGCUAGGGGGCCAUCCCGGCUUACCAACCCGAUGCAAACUGCGAAUACCGGAGAAUGUUAUCACGGGAGACACACGGCGGGUGCUAACGUCCGUCGUGAAGAGGGAAACAACCCAGACCGCCAGCUAAGGUCCCAAAGUCAUGGUUAAGUGGGAAACGAUGUGGGAAGGCCCAGACAGCCAGGAUGUUGGCUUAGAAGCAGCCAUCAUUUAAAGAAAGCGUAAUAGCUCACUGGUCGAGUCGGCCUGCGCGGAAGAUGUAACGGGGCUAAACCAUGCACCGAAGCUGCGGCAGCGACACUCAGGUGUUGUUGGGUAGGGGAGCGUUCUGUAAGCCUGCGAAGGUGGCCUGUGAGGGUUGCUGGAGGUAUCAGAAGUGCGAAUGCUGACAUAAGUAACGAUAAAGCGGGUGAAAAGCCCGCUCGCCGGAAGACCAAGGGUUCCUGUCCAACGUUAAUCGGGGCAGGGUGAGUCGACCCCUAAGGCGAGGCCGAAAGGCGUAGUCGAUGGGAAACGGGUUAAUAUUCCCGUACUUGGUGUUACUGCGAAGGGGGGACGGAGAAGGCUAUGUUGGCCGGGCGACGGUUGUCCCGGUUUAAGCGUGUAGGUGUGUGUUCCAGGUAAAUCCGGUUCACUUUAACACUGAGGCGUGACGACGAGGCACUACGGUGCUGAAGCAACAAAUGCCCUGCUUCCAGGAAAAGCCUCUAAGCAUCAGGUAACAUCAAAUCGUACCCCAAACCGACACAGGUGGUCAGGUAGAGAAUACCAAGGCGCUUGAGAGAACUCGGGUGAAGGAACUAGGCAAAAUGGUGCCGUAACUUCGGGAGAAGGCACGCUGACAUGUAGGUGAAGUGAUUUACUCAUGGAGCUGAAGUCAGUCGAAGAUACCAGCUGGCUGCAACUGUUUAUUAAAAACACAGCACUGUGCAAACACGAAAGUGGACGUAUACGGUGUGACGCCUGCCCGGUGCCGGAAGGUUAAUUGAUGGGGUCAGCGCAAGCGAAGCUCCUGAUCGAAGCCCCGGUAAACGGCGGCCGUAACUAUAACGGUCCUAAGGUAGCGAAAUUCCUUGUCGGGUAAGUUCCGACCUGCACGAAUGGCGUAAUGAUGGCCAGGCUGUCUCCACCCGAGACUCAGUGAAAUUGAACUCGCUGUGAAGAUGCAGUGUACCCGCGGCAAGACGGAAAGACCCCGUGAACCUUUACUAUAGCUUGACACUGAACAUUGAGCCUUGAUGUGUAGGAUAGGUGGGAGGCUUUGAAGUGUGGACGCCAGUCUGCAUGGAGCCGACCUUGAAAUACCACCCUUUAAUGUUUGAUGUUCUAACGUGGACCCGUGAUCCGGGUUGCGGACAGUGUCUGGUGGGUAGUUUGACUGGGGCGGUCUCCUCCUAAAGAGUAACGGAGGAGCACGAAGGUUGGCUAAUCCUGGUCGGACAUCAGGAGGUUAGUGCAAUGGCAUAAGCCAGCUUGACUGCGAGCGUGACGGCGCGAGCAGGUGCGAAAGCAGGUCAUAGUGAUCCGGUGGUUCUGAAUGGAAGGGCCAUCGCUCAACGGAUAAAAGGUACUCCGGGGAUAACAGGCUGAUACCGCCCAAGAGUUCAUAUCGACGGCGGUGUUUGGCACCUCGAUGUCGGCUCAUCACAUCCUGGGGCUGAAGUAGGUCCCAAGGGUAUGGCUGUUCGCCAUUUAAAGUGGUACGCGAGCUGGGUUUAGAACGUCGUGAGACAGUUCGGUCCCUAUCUGCCGUGGGCGCUGGAGAACUGAGGGGGGCUGCUCCUAGUACGAGAGGACCGGAGUGGACGCAUCACUGGUGUUCGGGUUGUCAUGCCAAUGGCACUGCCCGGUAGCUAAAUGCGGAAGAGAUAAGUGCUGAAAGCAUCUAAGCACGAAACUUGCCCCGAGAUGAGUUCUCCCUGAGACUU